AGCGAGCGUAGUUCAAUGGUAAAACAUCUCCUUGCCAAGGAGAAGGCACGGGUUCGAUUCCCGUCGCUCGC
RNAcentral lists this transfer RNA (71 nucleotides) under Eragrostis tef. RNAcentral's name for it is "tRNA-Gly". It matches the Rfam family "tRNA". Rfam says of the family: Transfer RNA (tRNA) molecules are approximately 80 nucleotides in length. Their secondary structure includes four short double-helical elements and three loops (D, anti-codon, and T loops). Lineage: Eukaryota; Viridiplantae; Streptophyta; Magnoliopsida; Poales; Poaceae. The record is from RNAcentral.